UUUCUUUGUGAAGGAGAAAAAAAAUCAGAGAGAAAAAAAUCAGAGAGAUAUACCGGAGAAAACUUUCAAAAAACUCAGUCAAUUUCUAGGUUUUUAGUCAUCACUUUCCUCCAAGUUUUCUGUUCUUUUUUUUUAUCUAUUUUUUCUUCAGUUUGCUUUGUUGUUUUCUCUUCUGAAAGAUACACAAAAAAAUAUGGCUUAAGUUUCAGCCUUCGUUCGAGUUUUGUUUUGGUUUUGAGAAAAAUAUCAGAGAGAAAUUAGGAGAAAAAUCGAAGAAAAAUCAGAAAAAGAAAUCUAGAGAAAAAUUCUUGGAAAUCCGAAAAGAGUAAAUUUUUUCUAGGGUUCUUGAAAUUGUCAUCUUCUUCAAGCCAUUUUUGUUUCUUAGUCUGCUUUCUCUUCAGAAAAAAAAAACAUACGAAAAUACAGUGGUUUGAGUUCAUUUUUUUUUUCGAGUUUUGCUUCAUUUUUCAAGAGAAAAACCAAAAAAAAAAGAAUCACUGAACAGACGUUUUCUAGCACUUGUUUUCUUCUUGGGUUCUGUUUUAUCAAAGGAAUUUGACUUAAACGUUCGAGUUGGAGUUUUUGUUUUGUAGUUCAAAAUUCCAGUAGUGGCUCCGUUCAAGUUGGUUGAUUCCUGUUUUCUUGUUGCUGUUCGUUACAAGCUCUGAGCCGCGGUUUUGCUCGAGUAGAUUCUAUGUUGUAAUCCCUGAAGUUCUUUGUUAAUUGAAAGCUUUAAUCCCAGAUCUAGGCACUUUUGGUCCCAGUGGCAGACGCUGAUCGAGGCUUCCGGUUUUCAGGAGACUAUUGGGGUAUCUGCACGGCGUUCGCAGUGUUGGAUUUUGAGUAGAGGCUAGCCUAGUUCCACGAUAAGCGCCAUCACGAUGGGUAGAGUUUUGGGUCGUGACAGCGCAAGCCUUCACGUGUUCGCAUAAUUAAUUUGGGCUGAGCUGGGCUGAGGCUGUUUCUCUUCAUGUUCGCGAUAUUGUUCCCGCAAUUGCGUAGCUUUGAGAGCCUUGUGUAUUGCGCUCGCGAAGCUGUUGUUGUGAUCGCGUAGUGUAUCUUUGUGAGGCUGCUGAGUUUCUUCUUUGCGAUUGCGAUGUAGGUCUCACGGUUGCGUAGAGUAUUUGGCGAAAGAUUUCUUUUGUUCGUCGUGAAAACGAUGUCUUUUCCGUGUUCCAUAAGAGGAAUGCCUAGGCAGAAUUAUAAGUCUAUUUCUGAGGUUUCAGCCAUUUUAGCAUAUUUGGAGCUAUGGAGCUUGGAUUGGAGCGAUUUUUUAGGUGAUUUUCACCAUGUGGAUUGGGUUUCGAGCUGUUUGGAGGUCAGUACACGCAUGAUGGCAUUUUGGAGCAUCGUCUGGCUUGAUCGGUAUUGGAUUUGGCUUGUUCGAGAUGUUGGAUGCUGAUAUUGUUGUGUUCGACGGGAACUGGAACUGAAGACGUACCCGCGUUCCGGUUGAAGCUGCCUCUUGUUCAUGGUAGCCUUAGAUUUAUAAAAAUCUAUUUAUCUAAAUUUUGAAUAGAUGAUGUAUUUAUUUCAUACCAGCUUUGUAAAUUAUAAUCUUAGAAGCUCAUAAUUUGUACUAUCAGUCCUUGGGAAAUUUCUUGUAUAAAAGUAGU
Nicotiana attenuata is the source of this 1616-nucleotide long non-coding RNA. RefSeq lists it as uncharacterized. The transcript has 5 exons. NCBI's taxonomy places the organism in Eukaryota, Viridiplantae, Streptophyta, Magnoliopsida, Solanales, Solanaceae. The record is from RefSeq and is a predicted model, not a curated record.